This 84-nucleotide transfer RNA is filed under the name Chromohalobacter israelensis DSM 3043. RNAcentral's name for it is "Chromohalobacter salexigens DSM 3043 tRNA". It matches the Rfam family "tRNA". Rfam says of the family: Transfer RNA (tRNA) molecules are approximately 80 nucleotides in length. Their secondary structure includes four short double-helical elements and three loops (D, anti-codon, and T loops). Lineage: Bacteria; Pseudomonadati; Pseudomonadota; Gammaproteobacteria; Oceanospirillales; Halomonadaceae. The record is from Rfam by way of RNAcentral.
GCCCGGGUGGCGAAAUUGGUAGACGCAGGGGAUUCAAAAUCCCCCGGUGGCGACACCGUGUCGGUUCGAGUCCGACCCCGGGCA